GUGACAGAAUAACGGGAAAUGAAGGCGGUGACGUAAGAUGCUUGUUGGCCGCUCAUUGGCGGAGAGCCGCGAGGGCACAAGCUAUACGCGAGGCAUCAAACGACAGAGUCGGUAAAAGUCGCCCGCCAAAGUUGACAGGACAAGAACAAGAAGAAUAACAACAAGACCAAGAAGAAUAACAACAAGAAAAAAGAGAACAACAAGAACAAGGGUUCCCUGAGACUCUGAGUCGAGGUCCCGCAACCGUUGCUUCCUUUUUGGCUCGCCGUUGAGAAAAUUGAAAGGCAUCCUAAAUGUCAUCUUUUGGAACGUCGGACAACCUUUUGGCUUUCGGCCUCUUCAUCCUUUUCCCCACUUGGUUCUCGAGCGUCGCCUCUGAGUCGAUGUUUGCAGUGGAGCCUAAGCCUAACCCCCAAACGCCAAGCAGGAUGCCAUCCACACCCAUACUCCAAGAGGCCCCCGCUCCACCCCCCAACUCCAGCUGACCCCGAGCAGCUCUUGAGAGGAUUUUGCACACUUGAAAGUGUCUCAACGGACCACGUACUGAGGCUCUCAGUGGACAUGGAUCCCUGUCUCUCUCACACAUGGCUGGAAUGCGGACACCAUUUCGUUGCGACUUCCCAGGCCCUCCUUGACCGACUGAUAAACAUUUCCUGCGACUGCCUCAUCACAGCACUGUGAACGGCGAUGUUCCGGAAACGUCUGGAAUCAGGCUGAAAUAAGGCGAAGCCGAAUUUGGUGUUCCCGUUCUCCAUUGUGGUGUCGCUCUUAUCACAUCUGCGCACGAAUAAAUGUUUUUGAAUUGCGUUUGUGGUGCAGGGCAAAGUCACCAAUCCGGCAAAUGUGCGUUCGUGUGUCCGUAGCAGAUAGCUGGCGGCCAGACAGGCCCUCACCGCCGGACCUUGUCUGCCUCUUGUGUUGUCACCGUGCACGUUUGCCAUGCGGGGGCACCCCAAAAUGAGUGCACCGCGUUUUGAGGGUAUUGAGCUGCCCUGCUUGUGAAGACGAGCGUAUUCACGGUUGCCGCUGGAGAACCUCGGCGAGACGUGUUUCAUGUCGAAGAAGCGCAGAUGUCGGAGCAAAGGCAGUCUGUUUUCCCAGAGAGCUCCAAAUUCAAGUUCACAAAGGAAAGCAGUGCUUGGACGGAAUUGCCAAGAGAGCCUCCAAAACUCUCCUAGGGGUCCCAUCGACGUUCUUAUCCGCUUAAGCAAAGUCCUUGAAGCAUUUGAUUAUGGAAAGCAACGCUGCCCGACAACAUUCCCAUGUGCCAGCAGACGAGGGAGACGGAGACGUGGAUGCCUCCCAUGGCCAUGGAGAGCCUCCAGAACCACCCGGGGGAGUCGUCAGGAGACUUUGGCUUCACAGACGACAACCAGGAAGACCAAGACCAGACGGUGAAAGACUACUACGAAGACUCGUACAAUGACGAGGAAGAUGAAGACUACGAGGAUGAGACGUCGGGGUCGGGCGACGCCAACGAGAGCAAGAGCGGACGUGUCUGGUUGCCGCCCACCGAGGGGGCAGAAACUGCCGGGCCAAUGUGCACUUUGAAAGCAAACGGCGCACAUUUGUUGAAGACGGUGUUGAGCAAACCAAAACGCAACCGAAAAUGCCAUCAUGGGGGAAUUGGCCUCUCUGUGCUCAAGUCGGCUGGGCAAGUGAAGCGCGUCUCAUUUGUAAUGUUGACAUUUGGAAUGAAAAGCCCCAACAAAGUGAGACCAGCAUUCUUCGGCGGUGACUUCAGGCCGGCGUCUGUUGAGUCGAUCGCUCGGAUUGCUGAGAGAUCGGGAUGCCCCCUAGACUCAUGCCAGUCCUAUUGCCAUUUGCCAGCAUCCCAAGGCAGACAACGGGAUUCCGGAGCGGUCUGGCCCUGCCGUCCACCACGACCCAGAGCCGGAGACUGCGCCGGACGACAAUGAGAUCCGUUCGGUGCGCAACAGUCCUCGCCUGGGCAGCCAGCUUCCGUCCAAUGUGCUGAUGUCACACGCCGCUGAAGGCGUCUUCACCAGGAUGGAAGUCCUCGCAGCACUAAUCUGCGGCGGUGGGGUGGCCCUGACGGUAGCGGUUUUGCUUGUGGUGCUGCUGCUUCACCGCAUGAAGAAAAAAGACGAGGGAAGCUACGAGCUGGUCAGGAAGCCCAUCUACACAAAGGCCCCCACCGC
RNA transcript from Syngnathus typhle (broad-nosed pipefish), 2162 nucleotides. It is a transcript of the gene named syndecan 4, with no coding region annotated. The record is from RefSeq and is a predicted model, not a curated record. The transcript has 6 exons. NCBI's taxonomy places the organism in Eukaryota, Metazoa, Chordata, Actinopteri, Syngnathiformes, Syngnathidae.